This 64-nucleotide small RNA is filed under the name uncultured Kaistella sp. RNAcentral describes it as "Flavo-1 RNA". It matches the Rfam family "Flavo-1 RNA", at positions 2 to 69 of the family's 76-position model. Lineage: Bacteria; Pseudomonadati; Bacteroidota; Flavobacteriia; Flavobacteriales; Weeksellaceae. The record is from RNAcentral.
UUUAGCCCGGAUCGCAGCGGAAAUCCUUUUUUGCGAAGCAAAAAAGAUUGCAGCAGAGAGCCGG